RNAcentral lists this long non-coding RNA (605 nucleotides) under Zostera marina. RNAcentral describes it as "long non-coding RNA (ZMAR_LNC001227)". Lineage: Eukaryota; Viridiplantae; Streptophyta; Magnoliopsida; Alismatales; Zosteraceae. The record is from RNAcentral.
UGGUGGAGGGGGAGAGGAGUAAAUGUAGGGAUGCGGUUCCGAUUUCUCCGGAGGAGGUGGAGAUUCGUAGUGGUAUGGAGGAGGUGGUGAUUUUUCUGGUGGUGGUGGGGACUUGUAGUGGUAUGGAGGAGGAGGUGAGUGCUCCGGUGGCGGUGGAGAUUUGUAGUAGUAUGGAGGAGGAGGCGAGUGCACCGGUGGCGGUGGGGAUUUGUAGUAGUAUGGGGGAGGAGGUGAGUGCACCGGUGGCGGUGGGGAUUUGUAGUAGUAUGGAGGAGGUGGAGAGUGCACCGGAGGUGGUGGGGAUUUGUAAUAGUAUUUAGGAGAAGGGGGUGGCGGUGACUUGUAAUAGUAUUUGGGAGAAGGUGGCUUGUAGUAAUACGUUGGUGCGGGUGGCGGCGGCGACUUGUAGUAGUAUUUUGGAGAAGGUGGUGGUGGCGAUUUGUAGUGGUAUUUGGGAGAAGGCGGUGGUGGUGACUUGUAGUGGUAUUUUGGAGAAGGUGGUGGUGGCGAUUUGUAGUAGUAUUUGGGAGAAGGCGGCUUGUAGUGAUACGUUGGUGCCGGUGGCGGUGGUGACUUGUAAUAAUACGUCGGUGUGGGAGGCGGAG